Molecule: ribosomal RNA, 471 nt
Filed under: uncultured bacterium
Lineage: Bacteria
Description: SSU rRNA
Rfam family: Bacterial small subunit ribosomal RNA
Source: RNAcentral
AGGAUAAACGCUGGCGGCGUGCCUAACACAUGCAAGUCGAACGCGCUUUCGGGCUUCGGUGCGAGAGCGAGUGGCGGACGGGUGAGUAACACAUGGGUACCUGCCUUUCAGUGAGGGAUACCGGCGAGAAAUCGCCGACAAUACCGCAUGGGCUUGUGGGAACACAAGCAAAGUGGCGCAAGCCACGCUGGAAGAUGGGCCUGUGGCCGAUUAGCUAGUUGGGGGGGUAACGGCCUCCCAAGGCGACGAUCGGUAGCUGGUCUGAGAGGACGAUCAGCCACACUGGGAUUGAGAGCGGCCCAGACUCCUACGGGGGGCAGCAGUGAGGAAUUUUCCGCAAUGGACGAAAGUCUGACGGAGCAACGCCGCGUGCAGGAGGAAGGUUUUCGGAUCGUAAACUGCCUUUCUCGGGGACGAGCAAGGACGGUACCCGAGGAAGAAGCCCCGGCUAACGUACGUGCCAGCAGCCGC